This is a long non-coding RNA of Podarcis raffonei (Aeolian wall lizard), 170 nucleotides long. RefSeq lists it as uncharacterized. The transcript has 3 exons. Lineage: Eukaryota; Metazoa; Chordata; Lepidosauria; Squamata; Lacertidae. The record is from RefSeq and is a predicted model, not a curated record.
AAAUGGCUGCCAUGCUCAGGGGAAAAUGAGAUGUCCUGGUUUCUUCUGGGACACUUACGGGGGCAGGCAGGGAUUUAAAGAAUGUACAUUCUCACAUCCAAAAGGCACCAAUUUAGCCCCCACCCCCUAGACAUUACUAGAAUUUUGAGGUUCAUAUGGUGACUCUCCAC